GGUUCCUUAGCUCAGUUGGUAGAGCAAUGGACUGAAAAUCCAUGUGUCCCCGGUUCGAAUCCGGGAGGAGCCACCA
RNAcentral lists this transfer RNA (76 nucleotides) under bacterium. RNAcentral describes it as "tRNA-Phe". It matches the Rfam family "tRNA". Rfam says of the family: Transfer RNA (tRNA) molecules are approximately 80 nucleotides in length. Their secondary structure includes four short double-helical elements and three loops (D, anti-codon, and T loops). RNAcentral also lists the same sequence under 2 other names. The record is from RNAcentral.